Molecule: ribosomal RNA, 330 nt
Filed under: uncultured bacterium
Lineage: Bacteria
Description: bacterial SSU rRNA
Rfam family: Bacterial small subunit ribosomal RNA
Source: RNAcentral
CAUGUAGGCGGGUCUUUAAGUCAGGGGUGAAAUGCCAGGGCUCAACCUUGGAACUGCCUUUGAUACUGGAGAUCUUGAGUCCGGGAGAGGUGAGUGGAACUGCGAGUGUAGAGGUGAAAUUCGUAGAUAUUCGCAAGAACACCAGUGGCGAAGGCGGCUCACUGGCCCGGAACUGACGCUGAGAUGCGAAAGCGUGGGGAGCAAACAGGAUUAGAUACCCUGGUAGUCCACGCUGUAAACGAUGGAUGCUAGCCGUUAGGCAGCUUGCUGCUUAGUGGCGCAGUUAACACUUUAAGCAUCCCGCCUGGGGAGUACGGUCGCAAGAUUAAA